RNAcentral lists this unclassified non-coding RNA (283 nucleotides) under fungal sp. RNAcentral's name for it is "partial internal transcribed spacer region". The stretch from base 1 to 46 matches the Rfam family "Eukaryotic small subunit ribosomal RNA", at positions 1786 to 1831 of the family's 1831-position model. The record is from RNAcentral. Lineage: Eukaryota; Fungi.
AAGUCGUAACAAGGUUUCCGUAGGUGAACCUGCGGAAGGAUCAUUAAAAAAUAAUCCUUUGGAUUAUAAAUCCAUACCCACCUUUUGUGCACUGUAACUUGUCCAUUGCUUUUCUUCCCGGAUUUUUUUCGUCAGAGAGGUCUCUUUCGGGGCUUUGAUGUCGGGAUGCCGGGGAGGAGAGCGAUAUAUCACACACGUUUAUUUUUUACCGAGUCUGAAGUAUAACUUUUUGCGAAAGCAGAAAUUAUUAAAACAACUUUCAACAACGGAUCUCUUGGCUCCC